This is a regulatory RNA element of 78 nucleotides. It matches the Rfam family "c-di-GMP-I riboswitch aptamer". Rfam says of the family: GEMM was predicted in a large-scale screen for bacterial structured RNA regulatory elements. Genes associated with GEMM are involved in a diverse array of functions, including chemotaxis regulation, signal transduction, secretion and chitin. The record is from Rfam.
AGACGAUAAUACUAAACCAUCCGUGAGGAUGGGGCGGAAAGCCUAAAGGGUCUCAAGCCAGACAGCCGGGUUGCCGAA